Molecule: ribosomal RNA, 253 nt
Filed under: uncultured bacterium
Lineage: Bacteria
Description: partial 16S ribosomal RNA
Rfam family: Bacterial small subunit ribosomal RNA
Source: RNAcentral
UACAGAGGUCCCAAGCGUUGUCCGGAUUUAUUGGGCGUAAAGCGCGCGCAGGCGGUUCUUUAAGUCUGAUGUGAAAUCUUGCGGCUUAACCGCAAGCGGUCAUUGGAAACUGGGGAACUUGAGUACAGAAGAGGAAAGUGGAAUUCCACGUGUAGCGGUGAAAUGCGUAGAGAUGUGGAGGAACACCAGUGGCGAAGGCGACUUUCUGGUCUGUAACUGACGCUGAGGCGCGAAAGCGUGGGGAGCAAACAGG